GGAGCUUAGCUCAGCUGGGAGAGCAUCUGCCUUACAAGCAGAGGGUCGGGGUUCGAACCCCUCAGCCUCCA
Molecule: transfer RNA, 71 nt
Filed under: Paenibacillus sp. JCM 10914
Lineage: Bacteria; Bacillati; Bacillota; Bacilli; Caryophanales; Paenibacillaceae
Rfam family: tRNA
About the family: Transfer RNA (tRNA) molecules are approximately 80 nucleotides in length.
Source: Rfam by way of RNAcentral